GUGGGGAAUAUUGCACAAUGGGCGCAAGCCUGAUGCAGCAACGCCGCGUGAGGGACGACGGCCUUCGGGUUGUAAACCUCUUUUAGCAGGGAAGAAGCGAAAGUGACGGUACCUGCAGAAAAAGCACCGGCUAACUACGUGCCAGCAGCCGCGGUAAUACGUAGGGUGCAAGCGUUGUCCGGAAUUAUUGGGCGUAAAGAGCUCGUAGGCGGUUUGUCGCGUCUGCUGUGAAAACCCGAGGCUCAACCUCGGGCCUGCAGUGGGUACGGGCAGACUAGAGUGCGGUAGGGGAGAUUGGAAUUCCUGGUGUAGCGGUGGAAUGCGCAGAUAUCAGGAGGAACACCGAUGGCGAAGGCAGAUCUCUGGGCCGUAACUGACGCUGAGGAGCGAAAGCGUGGGGAGCGAACAGGAUUAGAAACCCGUGUAGUCCU
This 431-nucleotide ribosomal RNA is filed under the name uncultured bacterium. RNAcentral describes it as "partial 16S ribosomal RNA". It matches the Rfam family "Bacterial small subunit ribosomal RNA", at positions 354 to 797 of the family's 1533-position model. The record is from RNAcentral.